RNAcentral lists this ribosomal RNA (310 nucleotides) under uncultured soil bacterium. RNAcentral's name for it is "bacterial SSU rRNA". It matches the Rfam family "Bacterial small subunit ribosomal RNA", at positions 26 to 336 of the family's 1533-position model. The record is from RNAcentral.
AGAUUGAACGCUGGCGGCAGGCCUAACACAUGCAAGUCGAGCGGCAGCACGGGUACUUGUACCUGGUGGCGAGCGGCGGACGGGUGAGUAAUGCCUAGGAAUCUGCCUGAUAGUGGGGGGAUAACGCUCGGAAACGGACGCUAAUACCGCAUACGUCCUACGGGAGAAAGCAGGGGACCUUCGGGCCUUGCGCUAUCAGAUGAGCCUAGGUCGGAUUAGCUAGUUGGUGGGGUAAUGGCUCACAAGGCGACGAUCCGUAACUGGUCUGAGAGGAUGAUCAGUCACACUGGAACUGAGACACGGUCCAGAC